This 1471-nucleotide ribosomal RNA is filed under the name Lacticaseibacillus paracasei. RNAcentral describes it as "bacterial SSU rRNA". It matches the Rfam family "Bacterial small subunit ribosomal RNA". The record is from RNAcentral. Lineage: Bacteria; Bacillati; Bacillota; Bacilli; Lactobacillales; Lactobacillaceae.
CAGUGGGGGGGCCCUAAUACAUGCAAGUCGAACGAGUUCUCGUUGAUGAUCGGUGCUUGCACCGAGAUUCAACAUGGAACGAGUGGCGGACGGGUGAGUAACACGUGGGUAACCUGCCCUUAAGUGGGGGAUAACAUUUGGAAACAGAUGCUAAUACCGCAUAGAUCCAAGAACCGCAUGGUUCUUGGCUGAAAGAUGGCGUAAGCUAUCGCUUUUGGAUGGACCCGCGGCGUAUUAGCUAGUUGGUGAGGUAAUGGCUCACCAAGGCGAUGAUACGUAGCCGAACUGAGAGGUUGAUCGGCCACAUUGGGACUGAGACACGGCCCAAACUCCUACGGGAGGCAGCAGUAGGGAAUCUUCCACAAUGGACGCAAGUCUGAUGGAGCAACGCCGCGUGAGUGAAGAAGGCUUUCGGGUCGUAAAACUCUGUUGUUGGAGAAGAAUGGUCGGCAGAGUAACUGUUGUCGGCGUGACGGUAUCCAACCAGAAAGCCACGGCUAACUACGUGCCAGCAGCCGCGGUAAUACGUAGGUGGCAAGCGUUAUCCGGAUUUAUUGGGCGUAAAGCGAGCGCAGGCGGUUUUUUAAGUCUGAUGUGAAAGCCCUCGGCUUAACCGAGGAAGCGCAUCGGAAACUGGGAAACUUGAGUGCAGAAGAGGACAGUGGAACUCCAUGUGUAGCGGUGAAAUGCGUAGAUAUAUGGAAGAACACCAGUGGCGAAGGCGGCUGUCUGGUCUGUAACUGACGCUGAGGCUCGAAAGCAUGGGUAGCGAACAGGAUUAGAUACCCUGGUAGUCCAUGCCGUAAACGAUGAAUGCUAGGUGUUGGAGGGUUUCCGCCCUUCAGUGCCGCAGCUAACGCAUUAAGCAUUCCGCCUGGGGAGUACGACCGCAAGGUUGAAACUCAAAGGAAUUGACGGGGGCCCGCACAAGCGGUGGAGCAUGUGGUUUAAUUCGAAGCAACGCGAAGAACCUUACCAGGUCUUGACAUCUUUUGAUCACCUGAGAGAUCAGGUUUCCCCUUCGGGGGCAAAAUGACAGGUGGUGCAUGGUUGUCGUCAGCUCGUGUCGUGAGAUGUUGGGUUAAGUCCCGCAACGAGCGCAACCCUUAUGACUAGUUGCCAGCAUUUAGUUGGGCACUCUAGUAAGACUGCCGGUGACAAACCGGAGGAAGGUGGGGAUGACGUCAAAUCAUCAUGCCCCUUAUGACCUGGGCUACACACGUGCUACAAUGGAUGGUACAACGAGUUGCGAGACCGCGAGGUCAAGCUAAUCUCUUAAAGCCAUUCUCAGUUCGGACUGUAGGCUGCAACUCGCCUACACGAAGUCGGAAUCGCUAGUAAUCGCGGAUCAGCACGCCGCGGUGAAUACGUUCCCGGGCCUUGUACACACCGCCCGUCACACCAUGAGAGUUUGUAACACCCGAAGCCGGUGGCGUAACCCUUUUAGGGAGCGAGCCGUCUAAGGGGGACA